AGAAUCAACGCUGGCGGCGUGCCUAACACAUGCAAGUCGAACGAGAAAGUGGAGCAAUCCAUGAGUACAGUGGCGACCGGGUGAGUAACACGUGACUAACCUACCCUCGAGUGGGGAAUAACUCCGGGAAACCGGAGCUAAUACCGCAUAACAUCGCAAGAUCAAAAGCCGAAAGGCGCUUGAGGAGGGGGUCGCGGCUGAUUAGCUAGUUGGCGGGGUAAUGGCCCACCAAGGCUUAGAUCGGUA
RNAcentral lists this ribosomal RNA (246 nucleotides) under uncultured bacterium. RNAcentral's name for it is "partial small subunit ribosomal RNA". It matches the Rfam family "Bacterial small subunit ribosomal RNA", at positions 26 to 285 of the family's 1533-position model. The record is from RNAcentral.